This 70-nucleotide transfer RNA is filed under the name Leptobrachium boringii (Emei moustache toad). RNAcentral describes it as "tRNA-Ser". Lineage: Eukaryota; Metazoa; Chordata; Amphibia; Anura; Megophryidae. The record is from RNAcentral.
CGAGCUUGGAAGAACUAACAAGAACUGCUAAUUACUUGCCAUCGUGGUUUGACUCCGCGACAAACUCGGC